RNAcentral lists this unclassified non-coding RNA (1905 nucleotides) under Hevea brasiliensis (rubber tree). Lineage: Eukaryota; Viridiplantae; Streptophyta; Magnoliopsida; Malpighiales; Euphorbiaceae. The record is from RNAcentral.
AAAAAUAUCAACUUCUAUUGCCCAUCAUAGAGGCAUUCAUUCCUCUCACAAUUCUUACCUUAUUACAAUUUUUGGAGUCAUCACCGUUCAUCACCUCUCUUUUAUGCCUUUGUUUCCAAGCUUUCUAAUGUUUCCAUAUCUAAGGCUGUUGGAGAAGCAUUGUCUUAUCUAGAAUAAUGUGAUGCUAUGAUCGAGAACAUAUUUGCCCUUUAUGCUAGAAGUAAUUGGGAGUUGGUGCAAUUACCACAGGGUAAAUCUGUUGUUGAAUGUUGUUGGGUCUCUACGAUCAAAGUUGAUCUUGACGGACAAAUUAAUAGCCUCAAGCGUUAAUUUGUUGCAAAAGGCUACACUCAGAUGAAAGUAAUACAUUUUAUAGCGAUUACUUUUGCAGGUGCAACAAAAGACUCACUGUUAGAUGGAUUGCACCUACAAAAGUAAUCGCCUAUAGAUACCAGAGUGCAGUGGCAUGUAAAGCAUCGUAACAAGCCGAGCCUAUAAAAGCAAUGCAUUUUCUAUGAAAGGAAUAUAAAGUAACGUUAAUUUUGUUGAAUUUUAUACCACAAGCAUCUACAAAAGUAAUGCAUUUAUAAAGGUUCUUGAAAUUACAGACACUGUUAUGAUGCCUUACAUGCCACUGGUAUCUAUAGAGUAAACAAGAAGGAAAUAGAUAACUAUACAGCAGCAGAUUUCCAACGACUACGCAGCUCAAUCAUAAUGACAGCUUUUGUAAAUAGCCAAAGACUAUUACUGUUGGAUGGAUUGCUUCUCUCAUCUUCAAAGUAUGGACCAAAGUGGCAGAGGGAAAAUCCUGGUAGAUUAAAGUAGAAUCUACUUGUAAAUCCAUUCAUUUGCACGGCCUCCAGACUCAUCCAUGUCUAUAAAAAUGCUCACUGCCUUCCCUAUCCGAGGACGCUCUUUCAACUUUGCUAAGCUGUUUCGAAUGUGUGAGACAGCUCCCCAACAUUUCAAAGUGUUUGCCACAUCAUCAAGCCUGAGUAGAUACUCCUCCUCAGUUAGUGGAAAGGAUCUCUGCUCCAUGUACCUCCACAUGACAUUCAAAGCAAGGAGAUUUCUUCCCAUGAACUCCUUCUUUAUUAAUUGAACAUCAUAAGAUCUCCCAUACUUGUCCCUAAUAAGAGUUGCAAGGUCUAUUCCACUAAAAGCGGAAUCAUCUGUACCGACAAUUCUUUCAAGAUUUUUUCUUAGCAUUUCACUAUCAACCCCUCCAGCUUCAUCUUUGGGUAAAUCCUUGUCACUCUCUUCAUUUUCAGACUCAUCUGGAUCAUGGGUAUCAUCCACUGGAAUAGAGAAGAUAGGCCUACAUUUCCUGGUAGUUAGGCGAUAACUAGUGGCAACAGAUUGAGAAUCAGAGAAAACGAAUCCGCCAGAACGAGGAACCUUAUUAAAUCUUGCUCUGAAGAGAUAGCCCUGAACUCCAAGUGGUGGAUUACAACGGUGACUUGAUAUAAUACUCGUCAUUUCUUGGAUUAUGCAAAUAAUUUUGGUUUCAGAAUCAGUAGAUAGAAUUUGGAACAAAAAAUUUUGCAGAGAAAUUAGAAUUCCGUUCCCUUUCCUUUCUUUGAAAUGAAAGCAAAAUAUACCCAGAAAAGAAAACCAAUUGGAUUUGGAUAAUUCUUUGCAAAAGGAUUUAAGAAGAAAAGAAGAAGAAGAAGAGAAAGUAUGGCACGUCGAAUGGGAGAAAGAGAGAGGAGAGAAAGAAAAAGAGAGAGAUGGCAUGGAAGAAUUUCUGAGAGGGAUAUCCAACAGAGAUAGAUUAAUAAGAUAAAAUAGAGAAAGAAUAACAGAGAAUCAAAGAAUUAUAAGUACAGCAAAAUAAUUAAAACAAAAGCAUAAAGAUUAAAUUAAACAAAACAAAUUAAACUAGGGCGGUAGAACUAAUCACAA